This 148-nucleotide non-coding RNA is filed under the name Gorilla gorilla gorilla (western lowland gorilla). Lineage: Eukaryota; Metazoa; Chordata; Mammalia; Primates; Hominidae. The record is from Rfam by way of RNAcentral.
GCCGGGCGUGGUGGCGGGCGCCUGUAGUCCCAGCUGCUUGGGAGGCUGAGGCAGGAGAAUGGCGUGAACCCGGGAGGCGGAGAGUGCAGUGAGCCGAGAUCGUGCCACUGCACUCCAGCCUGGGUGACAAAGUGAGACUCUGUCUCAA